Molecule: long non-coding RNA, 215 nt
Filed under: Lathyrus oleraceus (garden pea)
Lineage: Eukaryota; Viridiplantae; Streptophyta; Magnoliopsida; Fabales; Fabaceae
Description: Pisum sativum (pea) long non-coding RNA (PSAT_LNC026229)
Source: RNAcentral
UCGAAUCACUUCGUUACUGAUUAAAUGUUUCCUAUAAUUCUGCGGUUAAAGCAAAAUUCGAUAUCCAUUGGACGGAUGUUUCCAAAAGGUACAAGCUCAUAAAGUGGGCGUACAAGUCCUAUGGCGUCUUCUAUCAUGGUUACUAGGCCACCUAUUAUUAUUGGGGUACAGUUAUUCUUAGCAAGGUGAACAAAUUAUUCCAUCAUGAAUGUCAC